RNAcentral lists this ribosomal RNA (459 nucleotides) under Coniothyrium sp. MT0803. Its description in RNAcentral is "eukaryotic LSU rRNA". The stretch from base 94 to 247 matches the Rfam family "5.8S ribosomal RNA". Lineage: Eukaryota; Fungi; Ascomycota; Dothideomycetes; Pleosporales; Coniothyriaceae. The record is from RNAcentral.
GUACCUUACGUUUCCUCGGCGGGUCCGCCCGCCGAUUGGACAAUUUAAACCAUUUGCAGUUGCAAUCAGCGUCUGAAAAAACUUAAUAGUUACAACUUUCAACAACGGAUCUCUUGGUUCUGGCAUCGAUGAAGAACGCAGCGAAAUGCGAUAAGUAGUGUGAAUUGCAGAAUUCAGUGAAUCAUCGAAUCUUUGAACGCACAUUGCGCCCCUUGGUAUUCCAUGGGGCAUGCCUGUUCGAGCGUCAUUUGUACCUUCAAGCUCUGCUUGGUGUUGGGUGUUUGUCUCGCCUCUGCGUGUAGACUCGCCUCAAAACAAUUGGCAGCCGGCGUAUUGAUUUCGGAGCGCAGUACAUCUCGCGCUUUGCACUCAUAACGACGACGUCCAAAAGUACAUUUUUACACUCUUGACCUCGGAUCAGGUAGGGAUACCCGCUGAACUUAAGCAUAUCAAUAAGCG